This 960-nucleotide ribosomal RNA is filed under the name uncultured bacterium. RNAcentral describes it as "bacterial SSU rRNA". It matches the Rfam family "Bacterial small subunit ribosomal RNA", at positions 8 to 983 of the family's 1533-position model. The record is from RNAcentral.
AGAGUUUGAUCCUGGCUCAGAACGAACGCUGGCGGCGUGCUUAACGCAUGCAAGUCGAGUGCGCGUGCCGUAGCAAUACGGCAUGGCGCACGGCGCACGGGUGCGUAACACGUGGGUAACCUGCCCUUUGAUGGGGAAUAACCCCGGGAAACCGGGGCUAAUUCCGCAUAAGAUCCGCAAGGAUGAAAGCCGUAAGGCGUCGAAGGAGGGGCCCGCGCACGAUUAGCUAGUUGGUAGGGUAACGGCCUACCAAGGCUAUGAUCGUUAGCUGGUCUGAGAGGAUGGCCAGCCACACUGGAACUGAGACACGGUCCAGACUCCUACGGGAGGCAGCAGUGGGGAAUCUUGCACAAUGGGCGAAAGCCUGAUGCAGCGACGCCGCGUGGGGGAUGAAGCUUCUCGGAGUGUAAACCCCUUUCGACCCGGACGAAUACCUCGCAAGAGGGGUGACGGUACGGGUAUAAGAAGCCCCGGCUAACUACGUGCCAGCAGCCGCGGUAAGACGUAGGGGGCCAGCGUUGUUCGGAAUUACUGGGUGUAAAGGGUCAGUAGGCGGUGUGGCAAGUCGGGAGUGAAAUCUAUGGGCUCAACUCAUAGGCUGCUUCCGAAACUGCUGUGCUUGAGUGUGGGAGAGGCGCGUGGAAUUGCAGGUGUAGCGGUGAAAUGCGUAGAUAUCUGCAGGAACACCCGUGGCGAAAGCGGCGUGCUGGACCACAACUGACGCUGAAUGACGAAAGCUAGGGGAGCAAACAGGAUUAGAUACCCUGGUAGUCCUAGCCCUAAACGAUCACGACUUGGGGUGCCGCACGUUCGUGCGUCGUCCCGGAGCUAACGCGUUAAGUCCUGCACCUGGGGAGUACGUCGCAAGACUGAAACUCAAAGGAAUUGACGGGGCCCGCACAAGCGGUGGAACAUGGUGGUUCAAUUCGACGCUACGCCGAGGGGACUUACCUGGGCUCG